UUAAUUGAAGAGUUUGAUCAUGGCUCAGAUUGAACGCUGGCGGCAGGCCUAACACAUGCAAGUCGAGCGGCAGCACAGAGGAACUUGUUCCUUGGGUGGCGAGCGGCGGACGGGUGAGUAAUGCCUGGGAAAUUGCCCGGUAGAGGGGGGAUAACCAUUGGAAACGAUGGCUAAUACCGCAUAACCUCGCAAGAGCAAAGCAGGGGACCUUCGGGCCUUGCGCUACCGGAUAUGCCCAGGUGGGAUUAGCUAGUUGGUGAGGUAAGGGCUCACCAAGGCGACGAUCCCUAGCUGGUCUGAGAGGAUGAUCAGCCACACUGGAACUGAGACACGGUCCAGACUCCUACGGGAGGCAGCAGUGGGGAAUAUUGCACAAUGGGCG
Molecule: ribosomal RNA, 382 nt
Filed under: Vibrio cholerae
Lineage: Bacteria; Pseudomonadati; Pseudomonadota; Gammaproteobacteria; Vibrionales; Vibrionaceae
Description: bacterial SSU rRNA
Rfam family: Bacterial small subunit ribosomal RNA
Source: RNAcentral